This 589-nucleotide ribosomal RNA is filed under the name uncultured bacterium. RNAcentral's name for it is "bacterial SSU rRNA". It matches the Rfam family "Bacterial small subunit ribosomal RNA", at positions 337 to 916 of the family's 1533-position model. The record is from RNAcentral.
UCCUACGGGAGGCAGCAGUGAGGAAUUUUGCGCAAUGGGGGAAACCCUGACGCAGCAACGCCGCGUGAGUGAAGAAGGCCUUUGGGUCGUAAAGCUCUGUCAACUGGGAAGAAAUUACCAUUAUUUAACAGAUGGUGGUAUUGACGGUACCAGUGGAGGAAGCGCCGGCUAACUCCGUGCCAGCAGCCGCGGUAACACGGGGGGCGCAAGCGUUAUUCGGAAUUAUUGGGCGUAAAGGGCGCGUAGGCGGUCUUGUCGGUCAGAUGUGAAAGCCCGGGGCUCAACCCUGGAAGUGCAUUUGAAACAGCAAGACUUGAGUACGGGAGAGGAAAGCGGAAUUCCUGGUGUAGAGGUGAAAUUCGUAGAUAUCAGGAGGAACACCGAUGGCGAAGGCAGCUUUCUGGACCGAUACUGACGCUGAGGCGCGAAGGCGUGGGUAGCGAACGGGAUUAGAUACCCCGGUAGUCCACGCAGUAAACGUUGUACACUAGGUGUAUCGGGUAUUAAAACCUGAUGUGCCGCAGCUAACGCAUUAAGUGUACCGCCUGGGAAGUACGGUCGCAAGACUAAAACUCAAAGGAAUUGACGG